Molecule: ribosomal RNA, 431 nt
Filed under: uncultured bacterium
Lineage: Bacteria
Description: partial 16S ribosomal RNA
Rfam family: Bacterial small subunit ribosomal RNA
Source: RNAcentral
AACGAACGCUGGCGGCAGGCUUAACACAUGCAAGUCGAGCGCCCCGCAAGGGGAGCGGCAGACGGGUGAGUAACGCGUGGGAACGUACCUUUUGGUUCGGAACAACUCCGGGAAACUGGAGCUAAUACCGGAUAAGCCCUAACGGGGAAAGAUUUAUCGCCGAAAGAUCGGCCCGCGUCUGAUUAGCUAGUUGGUGAGGUAACGGCUCACCAAGGCGACGCUCAGUAGCUGGUCUGAGAGGAUGAUCAGCCACACUGGGACUGAGACACGGCCCAGACUCCUACGGGAGGCAGCAGUGGGGAAUAUUGGACAAUGGGCGCAAGCCUGAUCCAGCCAUGCCGCGUGAGUGAUGAAGGCCUUAGGGUUGUAAAGCUCUUUUGUCCGGGAAGAUAAUGACUGUACCGGAAGAAUAAGCCCCGGCUAACUUCGUG